UACGUAGGAUGCAAGCGUUGUCCGGAAUUAUUGGGCGUAAAGAGUUCGUAGGCGGAUUAUUAAGUCGGGGGUUAAAGACCGAGGCUCAACCUCGGGAGUGCCCUCGAUACUGGUAGUCUGGAGGAUGGCAGAGGAAAGUGGAAUUCCAAGUGUAGCGGUGAAAUGCGUAGAUAUUUGGAGGAACACCGGUGGCGAAAGCGACUUUCUGGGCCAUUCCUGACGCUGAGGAACGAAAGCGUGGGGAGCAAACAGG
RNAcentral lists this ribosomal RNA (253 nucleotides) under uncultured bacterium. RNAcentral's name for it is "partial 16S ribosomal RNA". It matches the Rfam family "Bacterial small subunit ribosomal RNA", at positions 524 to 776 of the family's 1533-position model. The record is from RNAcentral.